ACCCGCACAAGCGGUGGAUGAUGUGGAUUAAUUCGAUGCAACGCGAAAAACCUUUACCUACCCUUGACAUGUCCGGAAUCCUGCAGAGAUGCGGGAGUGCCCGAAAGGGAAUCGGAACACAGGUGCUGCAUGGCUGUCGUCAGCUCGUGUCGUGAGAUGUUGGGUUAAGUCCCGCAACGAGCGCAACCCUUAUCAUUAGUUGCUACGCAAGGGCACUCUAAUGAGACUGCCGGUGACAAACCGGAGGAAGGUGGGGAUGACGUCAAGUCCUCAUGGCCCUUAUGGGUAGGGCUUCACACGUCAUACAAUGGUCGGUACAGAGGGUUGCCAAGCCGCGAGGUGGAGCCAAUCCCAGAAAGCCGAUCGUAGUCCGGAUUGUUCUCUGCAACUCGAGAGCAUGAAGUCGGAAUCGCUAGUAAUCGCGGAUCAGCAUGUCGCGGUGAAUACGUUCCCGGGCCUU
Molecule: ribosomal RNA, 460 nt
Filed under: uncultured Thiobacillus sp.
Lineage: Bacteria; Pseudomonadati; Pseudomonadota; Betaproteobacteria; Nitrosomonadales; Thiobacillaceae
Description: bacterial SSU rRNA
Rfam family: Bacterial small subunit ribosomal RNA
Source: RNAcentral